GACGAACGCUGGCGGCGUGCUUAACACAUGCAAGUCGAACGGAAAGGCCUCUUUCGGGGGGUACUCGAGUGGCGAACGGGUGAGUAACACGUGAGUAACCUGCCCUUGACUUUGGGAUAACUUCAGGAAACUGGGGCUAAUACCGGACAGGAGCUCCUGCCGCAUGGUGGGGGGGGGAAAGUUUCGGCGGUUGGGGAUGGACGCGCGGCUUAUCAGCUUGUUGGUGGGGUAGUGGCUUACCAAGGCUUUGACGGGUAGCCGGCCGGUGAGGGAGACCGGCCAGACUGGGACUGAGAGACGGCCCAGACUGCCACGGGAGGCAGCCGUGGGGAAUAUUGCUCCAGGGGUGGAAGCCUGAUGCAGCAACGCCGGGUGCGGGAUGACGGCCUUCGGGUGGUAAACCGCUUUCGCUCAUGACGAAGCUUUGUGUGACGGUAGUUGGUGAAGAAGCACCGGCUAACUACGUG
RNAcentral lists this ribosomal RNA (467 nucleotides) under uncultured bacterium. RNAcentral's name for it is "partial 16S ribosomal RNA". It matches the Rfam family "Bacterial small subunit ribosomal RNA", at positions 28 to 507 of the family's 1533-position model. The record is from RNAcentral.